UUUGCCAGCGCUUAACUGCGCGGCGAAAAACCUUACACACAGUGUCUUUUUGAUACAGAACUCUUGCUUUGGUUUGGCCUAGAGAUAGGUUGGGCCAGAGGUUUAACAAAACACAAUUUAAUUAUUUUUACAGUUAGUCAAAUUUUGAAUUAAUCUUCAAAACUUUCAACAACGGAUCUCUUGGUUCUCGCAUCGAUGAAGAACGCAGCGAAGUGCGAUAAGUAAUAUGAAUUGCAGAUUUUCGUGAAUCAUCGAAUCUUUGAACGCACAUUGCGCCCUCUGGUAUUCCAGAGGGCAUGCCUGUUUGAGCGUCAUUUCUCUCUCAAACCCCCGGGUUUGGUAUUGAGUGAUACUCUUAGUCGGACUAGGCGUUUGCUUGAAAAGUAUUGGCAUGGGUAGUACUGGAUAGUGCUGUCGACCUCUCAAUGUAUUAGGUUUAUCCAACUCGUUGAAUGGUGUGGCGGGAUAUUUCUGGUAUUGUUGGCCCGGCCUUACAACAACCAAACAAGCUUGACCUCAAAUCAGGUAGGAAUACCCGCUGAACUUAAGCAUAUCAAUAAGCGGAGGAA
This 569-nucleotide small RNA is filed under the name uncultured fungus. RNAcentral's name for it is "eukaryotic LSU rRNA". The stretch from base 161 to 314 matches the Rfam family "5.8S ribosomal RNA". The record is from RNAcentral. Lineage: Eukaryota; Fungi.